Molecule: ribosomal RNA, 406 nt
Filed under: uncultured bacterium
Lineage: Bacteria
Description: partial 16S ribosomal RNA
Rfam family: Bacterial small subunit ribosomal RNA
Source: RNAcentral
AUUGAACGCUGGCGGCAGGCCUAACACAUGCAAGUCGAACGAGUGGCGGCCGGGUGGGUAAUGUCUGGGAAACGUCCUGAUGGGGGGGGAUAACUACUGGAACCGGUGGCUAAUACCCCAUACAAUCGGCUGGCCCCAGAUGGGAUUGGCUAGUGGGUGGGGUAACGGCUCACCUAGGCAACGAUCCCUAGCUGGUCUGAGAGGAUGACCAGCCACACUGGAACGGAGACACGGUCCAGACUCCUACGGGAGGCAGCAGUGGGGAAUAUUGCACAAUGGGCGCAAGCCUGAUGCAGCCAUGCCGCGUGUAUGAAGAAGGCCUUCGGGUGGUAAAGUACUUGCAGCGGGGAGGCGUUACCCGCAGAAGAAGCACCGGCUAACUCCGUGCCAGCAGCCGCGGUAAUAC